RNAcentral lists this ribosomal RNA (633 nucleotides) under Vibrio parahaemolyticus. Its description in RNAcentral is "partial 23S ribosomal RNA". It matches the Rfam family "Bacterial large subunit ribosomal RNA", at positions 1210 to 1828 of the family's 2925-position model. The record is from RNAcentral. Lineage: Bacteria; Pseudomonadati; Pseudomonadota; Gammaproteobacteria; Vibrionales; Vibrionaceae.
AUACUUUAGUAUAUUGGGUAGGGGAGCGUUCUGUAAGCGGUUGAAGGUGUGUGGUAACGCAUGCUGGACGUAUCAGAAGUGCGAAUGCUGACAUGAGUAACGAUAAAGGGGGUGAAAAACCUCCUCGCCGGAAGACCAAGGGUUCCUGUCCAACGUUAAUCGGGGCAGGGUAAGUCGACCCCUAAGGCGAGGCCGAAAGGCGUAGUCGAUGGGAAACGGGUUAAUAUUCCCGUACUUCUUACAAUUGCGAUGGGGGGACGGAGAAGGCUAGGUGGGCCUGGCGACGGUUGUCCAGGUUCAAGUGCGUAGGCUUAAGAGUUAGGUAAAUCCGGCUCUUUUUAAGGCUGAGACACGACGUCGAGCACCUACGGGUGUGAAGUCAUUGAUGCCAUGCUUCCAGGAAAAGCCUCUAAGCUUCAGAUUGUAAGGAAUCGUACCCCAAACCGACACAGGUGGUCGGGUAGAGAAUACCAAGGCGCUUGAGAGAACUCGGGUGAAGGAACUAGGCAAAAUGGUACCGUAACUUCGGGAGAAGGUACGCUCUCGACGGUGAAGUCCCUCGCGGAUGGAGCUAUUGAGAGUCGCAGAUACCAGGUGGCUGCAACUGUUUAUUAAAAACACAGCACUGUGCAA